Molecule: ribosomal RNA, 329 nt
Filed under: uncultured Glomus
Lineage: Eukaryota; Fungi; Glomeromycota; Glomeromycetes; Glomerales; Glomeraceae
Description: SSU rRNA
Rfam family: Eukaryotic small subunit ribosomal RNA
Source: RNAcentral
GAGUGUUUAAAGCAGGCUAACGCUUGAAUACAUUAGCAUGGAAUAAUGAAAUAGGACGUUCGAUCUUAUUUUGUUGGUUUCUAAGAUUGACGUAAUGAUUAAUAGGGAUAUUGGGGGCAUUAGUAUUCAAUUGUCAGAGGUGAAAUUCUUGGAUUUAUUGAAGACUAACUACUGCGAAAGCAUUUGCCAAGGAUGUUUUCAUUAAUCAAGAACGAAAGUUAGGGGAUCGAAGACGAUCAGAUACCGUCGUAGUCUUAACCAUAAACUAUGCCGACUAGGGAUCGGAUGAUGUUAAUUUUUAAUGACUCAUUCGGCGCCUUACGGGAAAC